CCCUACGGGGCGCAGCAGUGGGGAAUUUUGGACAAUGGGCGAAAGCCUGAUCCAGCCAUGCCGCGUGAGUGAAGAAGGCCUUCGGGUUGUAAAGCUCUUUCGGCCGGAACGAAAUCGCACCCGUGAAUAUCGGGUGUGGAUGACGGUACCGGAAGAAGAGGGACCGGCUAACUACGUGCCAGCAGCCGCGGUAAUACGUAGGGUCCGAGCGUUAAUCGGAAUUACUGGGCGUAAAGCGUGCGCAGGCGGUUUUGUAAGCCAGUCGUGAAAUCCCCGGGCUUAACCUGGGAACGGCGAUUGGGACUGCAAGGCUCGAGUGCGGCAGAGGGGGGUGGAAUUCCACGUGUAGCAGUGAAAUGCGUAGAUAUGUGGAGGAACAUCAAUGGCGAAGGCAGCCCCCUGGGUCGACACUGACGCUCAUGCACGAAAGCGUGGGGAGCAAACAGGAUUAGAUACCCCGGUAGUCU
This 467-nucleotide ribosomal RNA is filed under the name uncultured bacterium. RNAcentral's name for it is "bacterial SSU rRNA". It matches the Rfam family "Bacterial small subunit ribosomal RNA", at positions 337 to 796 of the family's 1533-position model. The record is from RNAcentral.